ACUGCAUGUCUAGUACUUUGGGGAUGCCCAUUCUCUCCAAGGCUCUCAUAGCCUAACUGUAGAGAAAAGGCUUACAUGUAUGACAUAUUAAGAUUGUAGAAACCAGCACCUGUGGGACCUCUGAGAGGGUCUGGAAUUAGGGUUCAGGUACCAUCCAUCUGUUACGUGCUUUGAAGAUGCCACUCCAUCUGUGGGAUUCAAUUUACAUAAACUGAAGACUAUUCUUCUGAGUUGAAGUGAGGAGAGGCAUCAAUCACACUGGAAAAUUAUUUGAUCUCCUGGAAGCAAAAAGUCCACCAUGAAGUUGUUCUUGCCAUGGACUUCUAGAGGAGCUGACUGUCCUUUGGGAAGCUACAAAUACAGCCUUAAAAUCUGUUAGCAGGGAAGAGAGGCUUUUUCUGAGUGAUCAGGAAUGAAGAAGCAGAGAUCAUGCAAGGUGUUUCCAUCCAAAAGUAGGCAUCUCAUGUCAUCUGCUCUGGCCAGUAUUUAACCUUGAGAAAAGAAGAAGUGUAGAGAUGAUGUACUUGCCUGAGGGAUGGAUUAAAAAGUCUUUGGUCUUCUCUGAACGGUAAAAAAAAAAAAAAA
RNAcentral lists this long non-coding RNA (585 nucleotides) under Homo sapiens (human). RNAcentral describes it as "long independently transcribed non-coding RNA 1344 (LINC01344)". The record is from RNAcentral. Lineage: Eukaryota; Metazoa; Chordata; Mammalia; Primates; Hominidae.